CCUACGGGUGGCAGCAGUGGGGAAUAUUGCACAAUGGGCGCAAGCCUGAUGCAGCCAUGCCGCGUGUGUGAAGAAGGCCUUCGGGUUGUAAAGCACUUUCAGCGGGGAGGAAGGCGUUAAGGUUAAUAACCUUGUCGAUUGACGUUACCCGCAGAAGAAGCACCGGCUAACUCCGUGCCAGCAGCCGCGGUAAUACGGAGGGUGCAAGCGUUAAUCGGAAUUACUGGGCGUAAAGCGCACGCAGGCGGUCUGUCAAGUCGGAUGUGAAAUCCCCGGGCUCAACCUGGGAACUGCAUUCGAAACUGGCAGGCUAGAGUCUUGUAGAGGGGGGUAGAAUUCCAGGUGUAGCGGUAAAAUGCGUAGAGAUCCGGAGGAAUACCGGUGGCGAAGGCGGCCCCCUGGACAAAGACUGACGCUCAGGUGCGAAAGCGUGGGGAGCAAACAGGAUUAGAUACCCUUGUAGUC
This 465-nucleotide ribosomal RNA is filed under the name uncultured Klebsiella sp. RNAcentral describes it as "bacterial SSU rRNA". It matches the Rfam family "Bacterial small subunit ribosomal RNA", at positions 338 to 795 of the family's 1533-position model. The record is from RNAcentral. Lineage: Bacteria; Pseudomonadati; Pseudomonadota; Gammaproteobacteria; Enterobacterales; Enterobacteriaceae.